CUCUGGGACAAGCCCUGGAAACGGGGUCUAAUACCGGAUACGAGCCUCCWMGGCAUCUUGGAGGUUGGAAAGCUCCGGCGGUGAAGGAUGAGCCCGCGGCCUAUCAGCUUGUUGGUGAGGUAAUGGCUCACCAAGGCGACGACGGGUAGCCGGCCUG
RNAcentral lists this ribosomal RNA (157 nucleotides) under Actinomycetales bacterium TLI163. Its description in RNAcentral is "partial 16S ribosomal RNA". It matches the Rfam family "Bacterial small subunit ribosomal RNA", at positions 136 to 294 of the family's 1533-position model. Lineage: Bacteria; Bacillati; Actinomycetota; Actinomycetes; Actinomycetales. The record is from RNAcentral.